AUUUAAGUGAAGAGUUUGAUCCUGGCUCAGAGUGAACGCUGACGGCAGGCCUAACACAUGCAAGUCGAACGGCAGCACAAGGGAGCUUGCUCCCUGGGUGGCGAGUGGCGGACGGGUGAGGAAUACGUCGGAAUCUGCCUAUUUGUGGGGGAUAACGUAGGGAAACUUA
RNAcentral lists this ribosomal RNA (169 nucleotides) under Solilutibacter pythonis. RNAcentral describes it as "Lysobacter sp. 4284/11 partial 16S ribosomal RNA". It matches the Rfam family "Bacterial small subunit ribosomal RNA", at positions 1 to 160 of the family's 1533-position model. The record is from RNAcentral. Lineage: Bacteria; Pseudomonadati; Pseudomonadota; Gammaproteobacteria; Lysobacterales; Lysobacteraceae.